Molecule: ribosomal RNA, 411 nt
Filed under: uncultured bacterium
Lineage: Bacteria
Description: bacterial SSU rRNA
Rfam family: Bacterial small subunit ribosomal RNA
Source: RNAcentral
UUAGAGUUUGAUCCUGGCUCAGAUUGAACGCUGGCGGCAGGCCUAACACAUGCAAGUCGAGCGGAUGACAGGAGCUUGCUCCUGAAUUCAGCGGCGGACGGGUGAGUAAUGCCUAGGAAUCUGCCUGGUAGUGGGGGACAACGUUUCGAAAGGAACGCUAAUACCGCAUACGUCCUACGGGAGAAAGCAGGGGACCUUCGGGCCUUGCGCUAUCAGAUGAGCCUAGGUCGGAUUAGCUAGUUGGUGAGGCAAUGGCUCACCAAGGCGACGAUCCGUAACUGGUCUGAGAGGAUGAUCAGUCACACUGGAACUGAGACACGGUCCAGACUCCUACGGGAGGCAGCAGUGGGGAAUAUUGGACAAUGGGCGAAAGCCUGAUCCAGCCAUGCCGCGUGUGUGAAGAAGGUCUUC